RNAcentral lists this non-coding RNA (28 nucleotides) under Homo sapiens (human). Lineage: Eukaryota; Metazoa; Chordata; Mammalia; Primates; Hominidae. The record is from RNAcentral.
UGUGCCCAGUGCGCUACAAAGCGGUCUC